CUGGCGACCGGCGCACGGGUGAGUAACACGUAUCCAACCUGCCGAUAACUCGGGGAUAGCCUUUCGAAAGAAAGAUUAAUACCCGAUGGCAUAAUUAGACCGCAUGGUCUUAUUAUUAAAGAAUUUCGGCUAUCGAUGGGGAUGCGUUCCAUUAGGCAGUUGGUGAGGUAACGGCUCACCAAACCUUCGAUGGAUAGGGGUUCUGAGAGGAAGGUCCCCCACAUUGGAACUGAGACACGGUCCAA
RNAcentral lists this ribosomal RNA (245 nucleotides) under uncultured bacterium. RNAcentral's name for it is "partial 16S ribosomal RNA". It matches the Rfam family "Bacterial small subunit ribosomal RNA", at positions 88 to 334 of the family's 1533-position model. The record is from RNAcentral.